This 510-nucleotide ribosomal RNA is filed under the name Physarum utriculare. RNAcentral describes it as "SSU rRNA". It matches the Rfam family "Eukaryotic small subunit ribosomal RNA", at positions 1003 to 1512 of the family's 1831-position model. The record is from RNAcentral. Lineage: Eukaryota; Evosea; Eumycetozoa; Physariida; Physaraceae.
GACGAUCAGAUACCGUCGUAGUCUUAACUAUAAAUGUUGCAAACCAGGGAUAGGACAGUGUCCAUCUCGACUCCUCCUGGACCUUGGAGAGAUUACGAGUCUAUGGGUUCUGGGGGGAGUAUGGUCGCAAGGCUGAAACUUAAAGGAAUUGACGGAAGGGCACACAAAGAGUGGAACCUGCGGCUUAAUUUGACUCAACACGGGAAAACUCACCAGGUCCGGAAACACGUAUGAAAGUCAAGCUGAAAGACUUUACUCAAUGAUGUAAGUGGUGGUGCAUGGUCGUUCUUAGUUCGUGGAUUGAUUUGUCUGGUCUACUCCGAUAACGAGCGAGACCCCGACGUUCCUAAUAGGGGUGGCAGCCAGACCGGUCGCAAGGCCGGUUAGCUCGCCGCCUGAAGUUAUACUUCUUAGACGCAUCAGAGCCGAUAAGGUUCUUGAAAUGGGUUAAUAACAGGUCAGUCAUGCCCUUAGAUGUUCUGGGCCGCACGCGCGUUACAAUGGCAUGUA